Molecule: ribosomal RNA, 460 nt
Filed under: uncultured bacterium
Lineage: Bacteria
Description: partial 16S ribosomal RNA
Rfam family: Bacterial small subunit ribosomal RNA
Source: RNAcentral
CCUACGGGUGGCAGCAGUGAGGAAUAUUGGUCAAUGGACGAGAGUCUGAACCAGCCAAGUAGCGUGAAGGAUGACUGCCCUAUGGGUUGUAAACUUCUUUUAUAUGGGACUAAAAUGUUCCACGUGUGGGCUUUUGUAUGUACCGUAUGAAUAAGGAUCGGCUAACUCCGUGCCAGCAGCCGCGGUAAUACGGAGGAUCCGAGCGUUAUCCGGAUUUAUUGGGUUUAAAGGGAGCGUAGGUGGAUUGUUAAGUUAGUUGUGAAAGUUUGGGGCUCAACCCGAAAAUUGCAGUUGAAACGGGCAGACUUGAGUACAGUAGAGGUGGGCGGAAUGCGUGGUGUAGCGGUGAAAUGCUUAGAGAUCACGAAGAACUCCGAUUGCGAAGGCAGUUCACUGGACUGUAACUGACAUUGAGGCACGAAAGUGUGGGUAGCAAACAGGAUUAGAUACCCCUGUAGUC